UGUCAGGGUUUAAUCAGGGGCCCGGACAGAGGAGUGGGGGGUGUCAGGUUAUAAUCAGGGGCCCGGACAGAGGAGUGGGGGGUGUCAGGUUAUAAUCAGGGGCCCGGACAGAGGAGUGGGGGGUGUCAGGUUAUAAUCAGGGGCCCGGACAGAGGAGUGGGGGGUGUCAGGGUAUAAUCAGGGGCCCGGACAGAGGAGUGGGGGGUGUCAGGUUAUAAUCAGGGGCCCGGACAGAGGAGUGGGGGGUGUCAGGUUAUAAUCAGGGGCCCGGACAGAGGAGUGGGGGGUGUCAGGGUUUAAUCAGGCACAGGGGCCCAGACAGAGGACUGGGGGGGUGUCAGGGUUUAAUCAGGCACAGGGGCCCGGACAGAGGACUGGGGGUGUCAGGGUUUAAUCAGGGGCCCAGACAGAGGACUGGGGGGUGUCUGGGUAUAAUCAGGGGCCCGGACAGAGGAGUGGGGGGUGUCAGGUUAUAAUCAGGGGCCCGGACAGAGGAGUGGGGGGUGUCAGGUUAUAAUCAGGGGCCCGGACAGAGGAGUGGGGGGUGUCGGGGUAUAAUCAGGGGCCCGGACAGAGGAUGCCACCCAGCUUUCCCAGAUGCAGAUAUCAGUCGGAGGAGUGCGGUACCUGCAUG
This is a long non-coding RNA of Bufo bufo (common toad), 634 nucleotides long. RefSeq lists it as uncharacterized. NCBI's taxonomy places the organism in Eukaryota, Metazoa, Chordata, Amphibia, Anura, Bufonidae. The transcript has 3 exons. The record is from RefSeq and is a predicted model, not a curated record.